AUCCAGCUGAAGCGUCCCAAAUAGGACGAAAUGCGCAUCCUGGAU
Molecule: non-coding RNA, 45 nt
Filed under: Schistosoma margrebowiei
Lineage: Eukaryota; Metazoa; Platyhelminthes; Trematoda; Strigeidida; Schistosomatidae
Source: RNAcentral